Brienomyrus brachyistius is the source of this 1270-nucleotide long non-coding RNA. RefSeq lists it as uncharacterized. The transcript has 3 exons. The record is from RefSeq and is a predicted model, not a curated record. Lineage: Eukaryota; Metazoa; Chordata; Actinopteri; Osteoglossiformes; Mormyridae.
GCACAUCAAUACCAUACAAUACACUUAACUGAAUAAAAGCCCAAAAGUCUGAGAAUGUUAGGAUUUUAAGAUUUUAUUGUAAUUGUGCCAGUUACAUCUUGGUACAGCUUUAAUUUACUCAGUUUAAGCCAUGGGCAACUACUGUGAAUCAUUGACUGACUGUUAUUGAAAUGGCAUUGCUUAACACCUUGAGUAACUGUCUCUUAGGUGAUGAAGCCAGGUAUAAAAGAAAUGUUCUUUCUCUACUCAUGAUGUGCUAAGAAAAGGACAGGAUUUGGUGGCCACCAAUAUGUGUCACUCUUGAGGUCAAUUUUCUGUUUAUGUUAGUGUGCAGGAACCUGUUCAGUGUUCCAGGUUAAGUACAUUUUAGAUCACGUUCUGAUCUAUUUUGUGUUCAGCAUGUCUUCAGUUUAUUCAGUGAAUUCACAUGCUUACUUGAAAGACCUGUAAUGUGGAGUACAGCCUUUUGAUUAAAAGGUGAUACAUCAGAUGUUAAAUCAGAUAUUUAAAUAAUAGUAUUAAAAUACCUAGAAGAUGAGUUCUGACAGUAGAAUUGGUUUAUGAGAUAUAGUUAUCAAAUUAUGUCAUUAAAUUGUCAUUAUAAUUGGGCAGUGCGUUUCAGUCUGAAUAAAUGUGUCAGCUAAGUGCUGUAAAUGUUAAAAUAUGAUGAAACAGAAAUUACAGAACUUCUGUAGAGGUUGAUCAAGACUAAGCAUAUGAAUGUACUUUCACAUUUUGCUAAUUGUGUACAGGCUGUGUUUUUAAGCCUGUUUAUAAAGAGUAUGCUGUUGCAGCAUUAACAGUUAACAGUUGUUAACAAUUAAUACUUUAUUUGUACUAGCAGUAAUUUCUGUAUGCUAUAUCUUAAAAUAACAGGAAGCUUGCAGAGAAUAUCAGUCCAGGGGAGUGGUCUGAAAUGAAUGGCUUUGAGUUGGAGGGGUUUCCAAGCCAAGACUUUGAGGUUGACUGUGGCAUCUACAUGUUGAUGUUAGACAUGCCGAAAUUGCGGAAAUGGUGGUGCCUGCUGCUAAUGGAAAACUUCGAUCUCUGAAGGUCAGUGUGUAUGUAUCUGUUUGAUUUCAUGUUUCAAUCAAAUUUAAGACACAUUAUCAAUAUCAGUAUUUCUCCAUUAUAAGUUAUGGGAAGGUAUUUGCACACUAGACAAAGGAAUCAGAGGCUGUGCUGAAAGGUGAACAUGCACCUGUAUUCAGACUAAGAAAGCGCAAAUCUGUGGAACUCAGUCUGGUCAGUGCACACUUUAAACCUUAGU